GGGACUUUUGGGGGCAGAUGUGUUUCACU
RNAcentral lists this non-coding RNA (29 nucleotides) under Xenopus laevis (African clawed frog). Lineage: Eukaryota; Metazoa; Chordata; Amphibia; Anura; Pipidae. RNAcentral also lists the same sequence under 1 other name. The record is from RNAcentral.